Octodon degus (degu) is the source of this 104-nucleotide small nuclear RNA. The record is from Ensembl. NCBI's taxonomy places the organism in Eukaryota, Metazoa, Chordata, Mammalia, Rodentia, Octodontidae.
GUGCUUGCUUCAGUAGCACUUGUACCAAAAUUAGAAUACAGGGAAAAUUAGCAUGGCUGUUGUGCAUGAAUUAUAUGUAUAUUUGUGAGAUGUUCUCUAUUUUU